Molecule: ribosomal RNA, 301 nt
Filed under: uncultured bacterium
Lineage: Bacteria
Description: partial 16S ribosomal RNA
Rfam family: Bacterial small subunit ribosomal RNA
Source: RNAcentral
CAGUAGCCGCGGUAAUACGUAGGGUGCAAGCGUUAAUCGGAAUUACUGGGCGUAAAGCGUGCGCAGGCGGUUCGUUAAGACAGAUGUGAAAUCCCCGGGCUUAACCUGGGAAUGGCGCUUGUGACUGCAAAGCUAGAGUGCGGCAGAGGGGGAUGGAAUCCCGCGUGUAGCAGUGAAAUGCGUAGAUAUGCGGAGGAACACCGAUGGCGAAGGCAAUCCCCUGGGCCUGCACUGACGCUCAUGCACGAAAGCGUGGGGAGCAAACAGGAUUAGAUACCCCUGUAGUCCCUGUCUCUUAUAA